CGGAUUAGAUACCCUGGUAGUCCACGCCCUAAACGAUGUCGACUGGGUGUUGGGGAGGCGAUUUCCCAGUACCGUAGCUAACGCGUGAAGUCGACCGCCUGGGGAGUACGGCCGCAAGGUUAAAACUCAAAGGAAUUGACGGGGACCCGCACAAGCGGUGGAUGAUGUGGAUUAAUUCGAUGCAACGCGAACAACCUUACCUACCCUUGACAUGUCCGGAAGCCCGCUGAGAGGCGGGGGUGCCCGAAAGGGAACCGGGACACAGGUGCUGCAUGGCUGUCGUCAGCUCGUGUCGUGAGAUGUUGGGUUAAGUCCCGCAACGAGCGCAACCCUUGUCCCUAGUUGCUACGCAAGGGCACUCUAGGGAGACUGCCGGUGACAAACCGGAGGAAGGUGGGGAUGACGUCAAGUCCUCAUGGCCCUUAUGGGUAGGGCUUCACACGUCAUACAAUGGCCGGUACAGAGGGUUGCCAAGCCGCGAGGCGGAGCCAAUCCCCACAAAAGCCGGUCGUAGUCCGGAUUGCAGUCUGCAACUCGACUGCAUGAAGUCGGAAUCGCUAGUAAUCGCGGAUCAGCAUGUCGCGGUGAAUACGUUCCCGGGUCUUGUACACACCGCCCGUCACACCAUGGGAGUGGGUUCUACCGGAAGUAGGUAGGCUAACCGCAAGGAGGCCGCUUACCACGGUAGGAUUCAUGACUGGGGUGAAGUCGUAACAAG
RNAcentral lists this ribosomal RNA (718 nucleotides) under uncultured bacterium. RNAcentral describes it as "bacterial SSU rRNA". It matches the Rfam family "Bacterial small subunit ribosomal RNA", at positions 774 to 1495 of the family's 1533-position model. The record is from RNAcentral.